AUUUUUAUUUAUUUUUAGUCUCAAGUAUUGUGAUUUGGAAAACUGACUUACAACAGGCAAAAGAACAGUUGAGGAGUCUAAUAAUACUCUAACAAUAUAUUGCCUUUUCUUAUAAACUGCAUUGAAAUAACGAGGAGGUUUGUUAAACUUCUGUGCAGCUCCUAGAAUUUUUGAAGAUACUAAGAAUUUGAUAAUAGGCAUUUUAACUAAGUGGAAAACCCCCUAAACAUCGAUAGAAUAGCUUCUCAAAUUAUUUUAGAGCAACAGCCAUGAAAAUGAUGUGAAAGGAGAGGUUAAUAACAACAAUACAUUUCCAUAAAACACUUCAAUAAUAUGGUAACAGAUGUGAUCGACAUCUUUUAAGUGCUUAUUCUGUGCCAGGCUCUGUGCGCCUGUGUGUGUGUGUGUGCAUGAAUGCACAUAUGUUCCUGUGUAUGUGAGUCAACACACACCAAGAAUACUUUAAAGAAUAACUUUAUUAAGAUAAAAUUCAUGUAAUAUUUACUUUUUGCAAGUGUACGAUUCGAUGAUUUUAGUAAGUUUGUGGAGUUGUGCAACCUCCAUCACAAGCCAGUUCUAGAGCAUUUCCAUCACCUCAAGAUGUCCUCUUGUGCCCGUGUGCAGUCAAUCUCGCUCCCACUCCCAGUCGAGACUGUUUCACUCUGUCUCCAUGGAUUCGCCUUUUCUGGACGCUGCAUGUUAAAUGGAAUCAUACAAGCUAUCAUCUUUUGAGUCUGGUUUCUUUCACUUAGCAUAAUGUUUUUGAGAUUCAUCCGUGUGGUACCAGAUAUCACUAGUUUAUUCAUUUUUAUUGGUGAAUAGCAUCCUAUUGUAUGGAUAUACAGUGUUUUGUUAGUCCAUUCACCAAUUGAUGGGCAUUUAGAUUAUUUCCAGUUCUGGAUUAUUACCAGUAAAGCUGCCGUGACUCUUUGCUUACCUGUCUUUGUAGACACACAAAAUUUUAAUCGUCCCAAUUACCCUAUGGUUUAGGACCAUUAUAACUUCCUUUUCUCCGGAUAAUGAAAGCGAGGCUCAAAAAUUAGGAAACUUGUCCAAGGUGAUAAACGCAACUGGGGUAAUAUUUGGAGAAACUGUUGAAUGCGCUUUCUUCUCUUGCGCUUCAGAUCCUUGACUGACUCCCCAAUUAGCUCCCAGUCAUUCAUCUCCUUCAGGUGGGAGGUGGAGGUAUUAGGAGCAUUUUAGCAGAAACGCAAAGAUAAAAGAGUGAGUUAAUCAGCUUCUGACAUUCAAUAUAAAAUUUAGGGACAAGAUAGUAAGAUGAAAAGCCAGGUUUGAGCAGGAGUGGGUGCAGAGAGAGGGAAAAGGAGAAUGGGGAAGGAACCUCUCCCACCUGCUGGCUGGCUGUUUGGAUCCUGGCCCGGGUUAGGAGGAGGGUAUGGCAAAGUCUGAGGAGAAGGUAGGGUCCUGCUCCUCCAGCCAGGACUUCAGUGGGGAGAAGAGGAUUCUGUCUGGAUCCUAAAAAAGAGGAAAUAAAAAGCUGUGGAACGUGUCAGCCUUCUAAGUCCCGUAACCGUCUUCUUGCCAUCAAUCCUCAUUAAAGCAGAACUCUGAUUUCGUUGAGGUGGCACUGACUCCCAGAUGAGAGACUACAUUCC
RNAcentral lists this long non-coding RNA (1616 nucleotides) under Equus asinus (donkey). RNAcentral describes it as "lncRNA (ENSEASG00005034386.1)". The record is from RNAcentral. Lineage: Eukaryota; Metazoa; Chordata; Mammalia; Perissodactyla; Equidae.